GACGAACGCUGGCGGCGUGCUUAACACAUGCAAGUCGAACGGAAAGGCCCUGCGUUUGUGGUGUUCUCGAUUGGCGAACGGGUGAGUAACACGUGAGUAACCUGCCCUUGACUUUGGGAUAACUUCAGGAAACUGGGGCUAAUACCGGGUAGAAUCUCCUGCUGCAUGGUGUGGGUUGGAAAGUUUCGGCGGUUGGGGAUGGACUCGCGGGUUAUCAGCUUGUUGGUGGGGUAGUGGCGUACCAAGGCUUUGACGGGUAGCCGGCCUGAGAGGGUGAACGGCCACAUUGGGACUGAGAGACGGACCAGAAUGCUACGGGAGGCAGUAGUGGGGAAUCUUGCACAAUGGGGGGAAGCCUGAUGCAGCAACGCCGCGUGCGGGAUGACGGCUUUCGGGUUGUAAACAGAUUUGGCAUGUGCUGAAGCGUGCGUGACGGUAAUGGGUCAAGAAGCCACGGCUAACUACGUG
RNAcentral lists this ribosomal RNA (468 nucleotides) under uncultured bacterium. RNAcentral describes it as "partial 16S ribosomal RNA". It matches the Rfam family "Bacterial small subunit ribosomal RNA", at positions 28 to 507 of the family's 1533-position model. The record is from RNAcentral.